This 229-nucleotide unclassified non-coding RNA is filed under the name plant metagenome. Its description in RNAcentral is "partial contains small subunit ribosomal RNA, internal transcribed spacer 1, and 5.8S ribosomal RNA". The record is from RNAcentral.
UCUCCGUAGGUGAACCUGCGGAGGGAUCAUUACAGAGUUCAUGCCCUACCGGGUAGAUCUCCCACCCUAUGUUAUUAUUACUUUGUUGCUUUGGCGGGCCGUUAGGCUCCGGCCCGACUACCGGCCCCGGCUGGUAAGCGCCCGCCAGAGGACCCAAAACCCUGAAUAUUAGUGUCGUCUGAGUACUAUAUAAUAGUUAAAACUUACAACAACGGAUCUCUUGGUUCUG